RNAcentral lists this ribosomal RNA (492 nucleotides) under uncultured bacterium. Its description in RNAcentral is "partial 16S ribosomal RNA". It matches the Rfam family "Bacterial small subunit ribosomal RNA", at positions 29 to 507 of the family's 1533-position model. The record is from RNAcentral.
AGUGAACGCUGGCGGUAGGCCUAACACAUGCAAGUCGAACGGCAGCACAGUAAGAGCUUGCUCUUACGGGUGGCGAGUGGCGGACGGGUGAGGAAUACAUCGGAAUCUACUUUUUCGUGGGGGAUAACGUAGGGAAACUUACGCUAAUACCGCAUACGACCUACGGGUGAAAGCAGGGGAUCUUCGGACCUUGCGCGAUUGAAUGAGCCGAUGUCGGAUUAGCUAGUUGGCGGGGUAAAGGCCCACCAAGGCGACGAUCCGUAGCUGGUCUGGGAGGAUGAUCAGCCACACUGGAACUGAGACACGGUCCAGACUCCUACGGGAGGCAGCAGUGGGGAAUAUUGGACAAUGGGUGCAAGCCUGAUCCAGCCAUACCGCGUGGGUGAAGAAGGCCUUCGGGUUGUAAAGCCCUUUUGUUGGGAAAGAAAAGCAGCAGGUUAAUACCCCGCUGUUCUGACGGUACCCAAAGAAUAAGCACCGGCUAACUUCGUG